RNAcentral lists this ribosomal RNA (453 nucleotides) under uncultured bacterium. RNAcentral's name for it is "bacterial SSU rRNA". It matches the Rfam family "Bacterial small subunit ribosomal RNA", at positions 8 to 462 of the family's 1533-position model. The record is from RNAcentral.
AGAGUUUGAUCAUGGCUCAGGAUGAACGUUGGCGGCGUGCCUAACACAUGCAAGUCGAACGGUAAGCGUCCUUCGGGGCGCUGAGAGUGGCGAACGGGUGAGUAACACGUAACUGAUCUGCCCUGUAGACUGGGAUAACAAUUGGAAACAGUUGCUAAUACCGGAUGAGAUCGCGCUAGUUAGAGAGGCGUGAUGAAAGUGAAUAGCGCUAUGGGAUGAGGUUGCGAGCCAUCAGCUAGUUGGUGAGAUAAGAGUUCACCAAGGCGAUGACGGCUAGGGGAUCUGAGAGGGUGGCCCCCCACACUGGGACUGAGACACGGCCCAGACUCCUACGGGAGGCAGCAGUGAGGGAUAUUGCACAAUGGACGGAAGUCUGAUGCAGCGACGCCGCGUGGAUGAAGAAGGUUUUCGGAUCGUAAAGUCCUUUUCUAUGUGACGAGGCAGGACGGAGCA